Molecule: ribosomal RNA, 102 nt
Organism: Erinaceus europaeus (western European hedgehog)
Lineage: Eukaryota; Metazoa; Chordata; Mammalia; Eulipotyphla; Erinaceidae
Source: Ensembl
GUCUACAGUCAUAUCACCCUGAACACGCCUGAUCUCAUCUGAUCUCAGAAGCUGAGCAGGGUCAAGCCUGAUUAGUACUCGGAAGGGAGAAAACUAAAGACA